RNAcentral lists this unclassified non-coding RNA (197 nucleotides) under plant metagenome. RNAcentral describes it as "partial contains small subunit ribosomal RNA, internal transcribed spacer 1, and 5.8S ribosomal RNA". The record is from RNAcentral.
UCUCCGUUGGUGAACCAGCGGAGGGAUCAUUACCGAGUGCAAACUCAUAACCCUUUGUGAACCUAUAUCUGUUGCUUCGGCGGCUCGCUCUCGGGCGAGCCCGCCGGUAAUAUCAGUAUCUCUGUUUGAACCCGACGAUACUUCAGAGUGUUCUUAGCGAACAGUUAAAACUUUUAACAACGGAUCUCUUGGCUCUA